RNAcentral lists this unclassified non-coding RNA (506 nucleotides) under uncultured Glomus. RNAcentral describes it as "SSU rRNA". It matches the Rfam family "Eukaryotic small subunit ribosomal RNA", at positions 569 to 1077 of the family's 1831-position model. Lineage: Eukaryota; Fungi; Glomeromycota; Glomeromycetes; Glomerales; Glomeraceae. The record is from RNAcentral.
AGCAGCCGCGGUAAUUCCAGCUCCAAUAGCGUAUAUUAAAGUUGUUGCAGUUAAAAAGCUCGUAGUUGAAUUUCGGGGUUAGCAGGUCGGUCGUGCCAUUGGUAUGAACUGGUCUCGCUGAUCCCUCCCUCUUGACGAACUGUGAUGCCAUUAAUUUGGUGUCGCAGGGAAUCAGGACUGUUACUUUGAAAAAUUAGAGUGUUUAAAGCAGGCUCACGCUUGAAUACAUUAGCAUGGAAUAAUGAAAUAGGACGUUUGAUCCUAUUUUGUUGGCUUCUAGGAUUGACGUAAUGAUUAAUAGGGAUAGUUGGGGGCAUUAGUAUUCAAUUGUCAGAGGUGAAAUUCUUGGAUUUAUUGAAGACUAACUACUGCGAAAGCAUUUGCCAAGGAUGUUUUCAUUAAUCAAGAACGAAAGUUAGGGGAUCGAAGACGAUCAGAUACCGUCGUAGUCUUAACCAUAAACUAUGCCGACUAGGGAUCGGAUGAUGUUAAUUUUUUAAUGACUU